GUUAAAACUGAUCUAUCUCAAAUUGGCUUUGACGUUGAAGCAAUUCAACAGAUGGUAGCUGGACUGGAAGAGAAGAUUGAGUUGCUUGACAAUAAACAGGAUGCGGCUAAUGCUGGUAUCUCUGCCGAAUGGCAGGAGGUAUAAAAGAAGGAAUAAAUGCCAAGUUUUUCCAAGAAGCGGAUGAAAAACUCAAGCUCUUGGACCUGGAUCAUACUGAAAAGAAGCCGGUGAAGGGUCUGGAGUUGUUUCUGGAGAGCAUCAAGGAAGUCAAGGCACU
Molecule: long non-coding RNA, 277 nt
Organism: Triticum dicoccoides
Lineage: Eukaryota; Viridiplantae; Streptophyta; Magnoliopsida; Poales; Poaceae
Exons: 5
Source: RefSeq, a predicted model, not a curated record